Molecule: ribosomal RNA, 253 nt
Filed under: uncultured bacterium
Lineage: Bacteria
Description: partial 16S ribosomal RNA
Rfam family: Bacterial small subunit ribosomal RNA
Source: RNAcentral
UACGUAGGGUGCGAGCGUUGUCCGGAAUUGUUGGGGGGAAAGAGCUCGUAGGCGGUUUGUCACGUCUGCUGUGAAAUCCCGAGGCUCAACCUCAGGCCUGCAGUGGGUACGGGCAGACUGGAGUGCGGUAGGGGAGAAUGGAAUUCCUGGUGUAGCGGUGGAAUGCGCAGAUAUCAGGAGGAACACCGAUGGCGAAGGCAGUUCUCUGGGCCGUAACUGACGCUGAGGAGCGAAAGCGUGGGGAGCGAACAGG